Molecule: long non-coding RNA, 2486 nt
Organism: Herpailurus yagouaroundi (jaguarundi)
Lineage: Eukaryota; Metazoa; Chordata; Mammalia; Carnivora; Felidae
Exons: 7
Source: RefSeq, a predicted model, not a curated record
CCCACUGUUACUACUUAGUGGCAAUGUAAGAUACGGGAAUCUUUGGAAGGUAGCCACAAACUCCUAGUUUUGCCGGUUUAAAGUUACAUGCCCCGCGCCCACCGCCUCCAUUUUCCAAGAAGUUUGAUUUCUUACUCAUCUUCUGGACACCUUCUGGAUUGCUUGUUGGAAGUCUACAAGGUGGCCCCUUAGAGCAUUACAUUGGAAAUUGGUCUCAAAUGAUUUAGAGGCUCUUUAAGGAAACUCCGAAGCCAAUUUGUCAGUAUUAAGGUACUUCUGUUUCCUGUGUGAUUGACACUAGCAAUUCUGCAUACUCGGGACUUCUAAGUGCUCAAGGACUGUCUUGUUUGGAUCUCUUUACCUCAAAACUAUAAAUGCGGCCCUUUUUUUGUUUUCUGGUUUCACUGGAAAUGGUGGCUUAGUUCUCAAGCAUCUAGGUUUUCAAGCUGUAAGGAAAUUUUUGUGUGUUAAUAUGAAAAGAAAACCAAGGAUUACUCUAUUCAGAGGGAAAGUGUAGUUUAUUGUAGUUUAUUGUGGGAAGAAAACCCUGUGCAGUUUCAAUAACGUACGUAUACUUGACACAGUUAGCAGGUAGAACCUUUCAUAGUUCAGUGUGAGGGGGAGAGGUACUCUUGGUCCAUCCCUAAUGUUUCCCUCACUUUCAGGGAAGACAUACUAGCCUUAGUCAUCAUGGGUCAGGAUACCACCUGACAUCUGCAGUUGCUAGAAGUCAGCGUAGUGUGAUGAGCGGUACAGGCUCUGGAAUUAGGAAGUCCCAAAUUGUUGGAAUCUUGACAUCGCAGCUCCCUACUUGCGUGAUCUAGGGGUUACCUAAUCUUCCUGGUGCUCAGUUUUCAAAUCGUGUAAAAUAAGAGAGAGAAAAUUGAUCGCACAGGGAGUUGUGUAGAUUGGAUUAAAUAACCAAAUCGCUCAGUUAGGCACAGUUUAAGUGCUUAGUGAGAACGAGCUGUUGUCUUUAUGAGGAGAGGCUGCAUUUUUGCCACCUUCAAUUACAUAGAAUUCGAUCAGAAUAUUUUUGUUGUUGUGAUACCUGCUGUAGAUAUUUGGUUGUUAAUUUUUUCUUUUUUCCAAUGUGUUGGUUACUUUGCCCUUAGAAUAAAAUUGGUAAAGCUUAUGGUACAAGGCCUUUGGUUACUAGUGUAGAAAAAGUAGUCGUUCAACAUUUACUGAAGUAGUGGAUGUUGUUUGCCAGGAAUCACACCUAUUGCUGCAGAUUCAAAGUCAAAUAACACAUGGAUUCUAUCCUCAAGGAAUUUACUAAAAUAUAAUGAGAGACUAACAAGGACAUCAGUAAUACUGAGUGUGUGAUAAACAAAUAGGCACUGGGGCCAUAAAAUAAGUACAAGUUAGCUGGAUAAAGAUCUGGGAAAGGAGGUAUUUCAGGCAGGAGAGCACCAUUCAUUCAAUUCACAAAUAUUUAGAGCAUAAGUCAGGUACCUAUGGACCCUAUUUAAUGUUAACCGUAUGAAAUAGCUUAUUAUUCUCAUUUCAAAUAUAAGGAACUGAGUUGCAGAAAAGUAAAAUAAAUGAGAUUUAGAAUUGAGCGUUUAUCUGUAUGUCUUCAAGAUCCUUUUUUGUUUUGUUUUGUUUUGUUUAAACAAAAAAUCCGUGUUUUUGUUUUGUUUUUUUCUGUUAACCCUGCUGAUUGAUAUACAAGGAAACAUUACCAAAAAUCUGGACCUGCUUCUUCAGCCAGAGAAAAUGUUUACCCAGUCAUUAUCACGGCAUACCUGUUUUUGUGUAAUGGUCAUGGACCAGAGGACUCUGAAAAUAAUGCAGAGCUGCAGCAACACAGGGUCCUGUGUGCCUACCCCUGUCAUCGGCAGCCCCCACACUAACACAGAGUUGAGGAAGAGUUUCCCAAAGGAAUCUGAAGAAAGAAGAGUAAACCUGGGCCCACAGCAAAGGAUGGGGAAAGCUGUGUAAACAAGGAACUACAAUUCCGUCAAUCCCCAGCCAUCUUACACUUGACAGGAAGAUAAUAAGCAACUACAUUUUCUCCAUGCAAAAACCCUUCCAGGUUGUGAGUGCCAUAAAUAUAAUGGAUUGUACUGUACUCAUCACUAGUAUGACGGCAUCUCCCUCUCUCCAUAGGAUCUCAAUGAGGUCAAAAUGGAGUGGACUCACUUCUCCCUAUUCCUCCUACUAAAUACAGCAAAAACUCCUAUACAUUAUAUAGAAAAUAAAUAUAAGGAGACUGAAAGGCGCAGACAAGAAGGCAGACCAGCUAGGGACCUUGGGACUGAGGAAUGAUGCUGUGAAUGUACAUAAGGGCACUUUCGCCACACCAGCCUGCUGAAGCCACUGUCCCUCUGGCCUGCUGCUGCAGUAUCCCCCCUAUGUAACCUCCUGCCAUCAGCUCCUACUCCCUCCAAUCCUUUCUCCACUGAAUGGCUGGAAUGCUGUUUUGGUGAUUUUUUUUAACUGUAAAAAGUACAUAAAGUAAAACUACCAUUUUAACCGUU